AGAAAACUGCACAGAGAUAACUUGCAGCUGCCUUGGCCUGCUGCCCUAGCCCACUCCCAUCAGUCCCAGCCAGUACCAACCUGCUACAAUUUCUGCAGUUAUCUAAUUGAAGCUUCAACCAGCCCCCUCUGGAGCCAAGACAAGUCAACCUCCUGCACUUAAAAGGUAUGGAAACGGGGAGGUGGCCUACAUAUUUAUGUUGUGACGUGUAUACCAUAGCAUGCAAACAGAAAUUGUACACAAAAAAACAACCUUUACACACAAG
This is a non-coding RNA of Pelobates cultripes (western spadefoot toad), 265 nucleotides long. The record is from the annotation of a GenBank genome assembly. Lineage: Eukaryota; Metazoa; Chordata; Amphibia; Anura; Pelobatidae.